Molecule: ribosomal RNA, 513 nt
Filed under: uncultured bacterium
Lineage: Bacteria
Description: bacterial SSU rRNA
Rfam family: Bacterial small subunit ribosomal RNA
Source: RNAcentral
CGCUGGCGGCGUGCCUAAUACAUGCAAGUCGAACGCACUCUCGUUUAGAUUGAAGGAGCUUGCUCCUGAUUGAUAAACAUUUGAGUGAGUGGCGGACGGGUGAGUAACACGUGGGUAACCUGCCCUAAAGUGGGGGAUAACAUUUGGAAACAGAUGCUAAUACCGCAUAAAACCCAACACCGCAUGGUGUAGGGUUGAAAGAUGGUUUCGGCUAUCACUUUAGGAUGGACCCGCGGUGCAUUAGUUAGUUGGUGAGGUAAAGGCUCACCAAGACCGUGAUGCAUAGCCGACCUGAGAGGGUAAUCGGCCACACUGGGCUGAGACACGGCCCAGACUCCUACGGGAGGCAGCAGUAGGGAAUCUUCCACAAUGGACGAAAGUCUGAUGGAGCAACGCCGCGUGAGUGAAGAAGGUUUUCGGAUCGUAAAACUCUGUUGUUGGAGAAGAAUGUAUCUGAUAGUAACUGAUCAGGUAGUGACGGUAUCCAACCAGAAAGCCACGGCUAACUACGUG